CAGUGAUGUCCGAUGAUGGAAACUACACCUGUGUUUUCCCACAUCUCCGGCCUGGUGAAGUGUUCCACAUCAGGCUGAUUGUUGGUGCAACAUGUAAACCA
Thalassophryne amazonica is the source of this 101-nucleotide long non-coding RNA. RefSeq lists it as uncharacterized. NCBI's taxonomy places the organism in Eukaryota, Metazoa, Chordata, Actinopteri, Batrachoidiformes, Batrachoididae. The record is from RefSeq and is a predicted model, not a curated record. The transcript is spliced from 3 exons.